Molecule: non-coding RNA, 1174 nt
Organism: Salvelinus sp. IW2-2015
Lineage: Eukaryota; Metazoa; Chordata; Actinopteri; Salmoniformes; Salmonidae
Source: RefSeq, a predicted model, not a curated record
AUUAAACUAUUGUUUAUUCGACGUGGUCUGCAUCUGGGUCUUCCCUUCAUACCUGAUAGCCACAUAGGUACAACUGUUCCACAUGGCACGCCCCACAGACACAUCUCAAUAAUGUUAGUGAAUAUUCUUUUAGGGAUACAAUUUUGUUUUUUGACAAGUUUACAGUUAAAUGCAUAGGAAUAUCAAAAUGCACCUCUCCAAAGGCAUUUUUGCAACAUUUGAUUCAAAUGACCUUAUAUUGGGUCAGAACACCCAGUUUCUCCCUUUAUCAGAAUAUCUUGCUUCAGUUUUAAAACUUACGUCAGAAACAUAUGUUUAAUUCUCAUCCAUUGGCUGGCUACAUUGUGAGGGUAUAUAAAGAAGGGGACUGUGCCUCAUAGACUACGUCAUUUCUGAAGAGGUUCCAUUUCAGAAUGAGGGGUGCUGUAACUCUGCUAGUGUUGUUGUUCUGUCUGUCUGGGGCAUGGGCUCAGGGAGAGAGUGGAGGGGUCAGAGAGAAUGACAUCACAGUGAAGGGGGACUGAAGCUACAGAGACGACCCACAAACAGACGACCGGCCAGACCACCACCACCCCUGACAUCUGGACGGAGCUGAGAGACAUGGUGGUGGAACAGAGAGUGGAGCUGACUGUCACCAAGACUGAACUGAAGAACAUGGAGGCCAGACUGCAGAACCAGUAAAGACAGACCAAAGGUGGCUUUCUCUGCUGGUUUGACUGAUUCAGGACCUGUAGGAUCCUUCAAUACUGACACCACAUUGAUGUACAGUAGAGUCAUCACUUACAUCAGCAAGGCCUACAAGCCAACUACAGGUAUCUUCACAGCACCAGGGGGAGGAGUUUACUGCUUUGAGGCACACGYUUCCCAAGUCUUUGUUUUUUUUCCCUUUACCACAAUGACAAGAUGCUGAUGUUUACUGUUGACCAGGAGGAUGGUUAUUAUAUGUUUCUAUCUAAUGACUGUAGAGCUGGAGGAGAGGGAUGUGGGCUAAAUGUGUCUCCUGACAAACAGGGGGGGAUCUAUGAUGAUACAAAUAGCCACAGCACGUUCAGUGGUCUCCUGCUCUUCCCUAUGUGAGGGCAGCACCAUGCUGUAAUGUUGUGAUGAAUUCAGAGUUCUGUUUGGACCAGAUCUGGGGUUAAAGCAGUCUCUAUGGGGGUGCCACAGGGUUCAA